AUUGAACGCUGGCGGCAGGCUUAACACAUGCAAGUCGAGCGAGCGGCGGACGGGUGAGUAAUGUCUGGGAAACUGCCUGAUGGCGGGGGAUAACUACUGGACACGGUAGCUAAUACCGCAUACCAUCAGAUGUGCCCAGAUGGGAUUAGCUAGUAGGUGGGGUAAUGGCUCACCUAGGCGACGAUCGCUAGCUGGUCUGAGAGCAUGACCAGCCACACGGGAACUGAGACAAGGUCCAGACUCAUACGGGAGGAAGCAGUAGGGAAGAUUGCACAAUGGGCGCAAGCCUGAAGCAGCCAUGCCGCGUGUGUGAAGAAGGCCUUCGGGUUGUAAAGCACUUUCAGCGAGGAAGCGUUACUUGAAGAGGAAGCAACGGCUAACUCCGUGCCAGCCGCGGCGGUAAUUC
RNAcentral lists this ribosomal RNA (406 nucleotides) under uncultured bacterium. Its description in RNAcentral is "partial 16S ribosomal RNA". It matches the Rfam family "Bacterial small subunit ribosomal RNA", at positions 30 to 526 of the family's 1533-position model. The record is from RNAcentral.